GAUGAACGCUAGCGGCAGGCCUAAUACAUGCAAGUCGAGGGGUAGAAGAGGCUUGCUUCUUUGAGACCGGCGCACGGGUGCGUAACGCGUAUGCAACCUACCUUCAUCUGGGGGAUAGCCCGGAGAAAUCCGGAUUAAUACCGCAUAAAAUCACAGGAUGGCAUUAUCCAAUGAUCAAACAUUUAUGGGAUGGAGAUGGGCAUGCGUGUCAUUAGCUAGUUGGCGGGGUAACGGCCCACCAAGGCGACGAUGACUAGGGGAUCUGAGAGGAUGGCCCCCCACACUGGUACUGGGACACGGACCAGACUCCUACGGGAGGCAGCAGUAAGGAAUAUUGGUCAAUGGAGGCAACUCUGAACCAGCCAUGCCGCGUGCAGGAAGACUGCCCUAUGGGUCGUAAACUGCUUUUAUUCGGGAAUAAACCUUAUUACGUGUAAUAAGCUGAAUGUACCGAAGGAAUAAGGAUCGGCUAACUCCGUGCCAGCCGCCGCCGUAA
This 496-nucleotide ribosomal RNA is filed under the name uncultured bacterium. Its description in RNAcentral is "partial 16S ribosomal RNA". It matches the Rfam family "Bacterial small subunit ribosomal RNA", at positions 28 to 523 of the family's 1533-position model. The record is from RNAcentral.